GAUGAACACUGGCGGCGUGCCUAAUACAUGCAAGUCGAGCGAACAGACGAGGAGCUUGCUCCUCUGACGUUAGCGGCGGACGGGUGAGUAACACGUGGAUAACCUACCUAUAAGACUGGGAUAACUUCGGGAAACCGGAGCUAAUACCGGAUAAUAUAUUGAACCGCACGGUUCAAUAGUGAAAGACGGUUCUGCUGUCACUUAUAGAUGGAUCCGCGCUGCAUUAGCUAUUUGGUAAGGUGACGGCUUACCAAGGCAACGAUGCGUAGCCGACCGGAGAGGGUGAUCGGCAACAAUGGAACUGAGACACGGUCCAGACUCCUACGGGAGGCAGCAGUAGGGAAUCUUCCGCAAUGGGCGAAAGCCUGACGGAGCAACGCCGCGUGAGUGAUGAAGGGCUUCGGAUCGUAAAACUCUGUUAUUAGGGAAGAACAAAUGUGUAAGUAACUAUGCACGUCUUGACGGUACCUAAUCAGAAAGCCACGGCUAACUACGUGCCAGCAGCCGCCGUAA
This 513-nucleotide ribosomal RNA is filed under the name uncultured bacterium. RNAcentral's name for it is "partial 16S ribosomal RNA". It matches the Rfam family "Bacterial small subunit ribosomal RNA", at positions 28 to 523 of the family's 1533-position model. The record is from RNAcentral.